UACGUAGGGUGCAAGCGUUAAUCGGAAUUACUGGGCGUAAAGCGUGCGCAGGCGGUGAUGUAAGACAGAUGUGAAAUCCCCGGGCUCAACCUGGGAACUGCAUUUGUGACUGCAUCGCUGGAGUGCGGCAGAGGGUGAUGGAAUUCCGCGUGUAGCAGUGAAAUGCGUAGAUAUGCGGAGGAACACCGAUGGCGAAGGCAAUCCCCUGGGCCUGCACUGACGCUCAUGCACGAAAGCGUGGGGAGCAAACAGG
Molecule: ribosomal RNA, 253 nt
Filed under: uncultured bacterium
Lineage: Bacteria
Description: partial 16S ribosomal RNA
Rfam family: Bacterial small subunit ribosomal RNA
Source: RNAcentral